AAGGAACUGACAGAGUCUGAAUGCAAAUCAAAAUAUACCAUUUUCCAAUUUAUCUCCUCCAAUGAGAAGUCCUCAACAUCAAAUGGAGCAUCAGAAAGGCCAAGUGAAGUAGUUGGCCCUUUUAAGGAGAAAGUCUAUUCUGUAGAGAAUAAAGAAAAGGAAAAGAGAAUGGAGGAUGAUUUAGAGGAUUUAAAACAGGUGAAAACACAGCCCAUACUUGGAUAUGAAAGGUAGGACAUUAGCAUAAAGGAUUUGAAGUAACCUUUGAAAUAGGAUUUGACUUAGCUUUUUCAUUCAUGUUCUCUUUAGUCUUUCAUUUGCUUGG
Molecule: long non-coding RNA, 325 nt
Filed under: Monodelphis domestica (gray short-tailed opossum)
Lineage: Eukaryota; Metazoa; Chordata; Mammalia; Didelphimorphia; Didelphidae
Description: lncRNA (ENSMODG00000048134.1)
Source: RNAcentral